GCGGUUUCCCUUAUGCUGUUCUUGUGAUAGUGAGUGAGUUCUCACGAGAUCUGACGGUUUUAUAAGGGGCUCUUCCCCCUUCACCCAACACUUCUCCCUUCUGCCACUUUGUGAAGAAGGUGCCUUGCUUUCCCGUUCCCAUUCUACCAUGAUUGUGAAUUUCCUGAGGCCUCCCCAGCCGUGCUCAACUACGGAGUCUCUGACACCCAGGCUGGAGUGAGGGGUGCAAUCUCAGCUCACCGCAAGCUCCGCCUCCCAGGUUCAAGCAAUACUCCCACCUCAGCCUCUUGAGUAGCUGGGAUUAACAGGCGCCCGCCACCAUGCCCAAAUGAUUUUUGCAUUUUUAGUAGAGACGGGAUUUCACGAUGUUGACCAGGGUGGCCUCAAAUUCCUGACCUCAGGUGAUCCACCCGCCUUGGCCUCCCAACGUGCUGGGAUUAAAGGUUACUGCCUAGACCACACCCCAUCCUCGCUCUGGCUUGGGGACCUGAGCUCUAGUUGAAGAGUGUUUGAAGGUUGCUGACAACCAUCGCUUCAUCUAUCUGCCAUGGUGCCUGAGAUCACACCAUUAGAAAGUCACUUGUUUGGUUAAAGAUGAGAAAACUGAGGCACAGAGCAGG
This 620-nucleotide long non-coding RNA is filed under the name Homo sapiens (human). RNAcentral describes it as "HSALNT0386599". The record is from RNAcentral. Lineage: Eukaryota; Metazoa; Chordata; Mammalia; Primates; Hominidae.